RNAcentral lists this ribosomal RNA (253 nucleotides) under uncultured bacterium. RNAcentral's name for it is "partial 16S ribosomal RNA". It matches the Rfam family "Bacterial small subunit ribosomal RNA", at positions 524 to 776 of the family's 1533-position model. The record is from RNAcentral.
UACAGAGGGGGCAAGCGUUAAUCGGAAUUACUGGGCGUAAAGCGUGCGUAGACGGUUACGUAAGUCAGAUGUGAAAGCCCCGGGCUCAACCUGGGAAUUGCAUUUGAGACUGUGUAGCUAGGGUGCGGAAGAGGGAAGCGGAAUUUCCGGUGUAGCGGUGAAAUGCGUAGAUAUCGGAAGGAACACCAGUGGCGAAAGCGGCUUCCUGGUCCAGCACCGACGUUCAGGCACGAAAGCGUGGGGAGCAAACAGG